Molecule: ribosomal RNA, 443 nt
Filed under: uncultured bacterium
Lineage: Bacteria
Description: bacterial SSU rRNA
Rfam family: Bacterial small subunit ribosomal RNA
Source: RNAcentral
GAUGAACGCUGGCGGUAUGCCUAACACAUGCAAGUCGUACGAGAGUUUUUAACUCUAGUGGCGGACGGGUGAGUAACACGUGAGAAUUUGCCUUUAGGAGGGGGAUAACAAUUGGAAACGAAUGCUAAUACCCCAUAUGCUUUUGAGUGAAAUGGAUUUUAUCCGCCUAGAGAGAAGCUCGCGGCUGAUUAGCUUGUUGGUAAGGUAAGAGCUUACCAAGGCGACGAUCAGUAUCUGGUUUGAGAGGACGAUCAGACACACUGGAACUGAGACACGGUCCAGACUCCUACGGGAGGCAGCAGUGGGGAAUUUUCCGCAAUGGGCGAAAGCCUGACGGAGCAAUACCGCGUGAGGGAAGAAUGCCUAUGGGUUGUAAACCUCUUUUUCUAGGGUAGGAAGUAAAAUGACGUGUACCUGAAGAAUAAGCAUCGGCUAACUCCGUG